Molecule: ribosomal RNA, 439 nt
Filed under: uncultured bacterium
Lineage: Bacteria
Description: partial 16S ribosomal RNA
Rfam family: Bacterial small subunit ribosomal RNA
Source: RNAcentral
CUACGGGAGGCACCAGUGGGGAAUCUUGCACAAUGGAGGAAACUCUGAUGCAGCGAUGCCGCGUGAGUGAAGAAGGCCCUUGGGUUGUAAAGCUCUUUCGUCGGGGAAGAAAAUGACUGUACCCGAAUAAGAAGGUCCGGCUAACUUCGUGCCAGCAGCCGCGGUAAUACGAAGGGACCUAGCGUAGUUCGGAAUUACUGGGCUUAAAGAGUUCGUAGGUGGUUGAAAAAGUUAGUGGUGAAAUCCCAGAGCUUAACUCUGGAACUGCCAUUAAAACUUUUCAGCUAGAGUAUGAUAGAGGAAAGCAGAAUUUCUAGUGUAGAGGUGAAAUUCGUAGAUAUUAGAAAGAAUACCAAUUGCGAAGGCAGCUUUCUGGAUCAUUACUGACACUGAGGAACGAAAGCAUGGGUAGCGAAGAGGAUUAGAUACCCUAGUAGUC